This is a long non-coding RNA of Aquila chrysaetos chrysaetos, 1051 nucleotides long. RefSeq lists it as uncharacterized. The record is from RefSeq and is a predicted model, not a curated record. NCBI's taxonomy places the organism in Eukaryota, Metazoa, Chordata, Aves, Accipitriformes, Accipitridae. The transcript is spliced from 3 exons.
GGAGCGGGCGGGGGCGCGGUGCCGCUGAGGGGCCGAGGGCUGCCCCGCUCCCCGUCAGCGUCCCCGUGGCUCCGGCACCGGUGCCGUCACUUUCCAGCUCCCGCGUCUCCUGCCUCUGGUGAGGCAGCUAGGUGCCCGCCGGCUUUCCGGCUCUUUGCGCCCCGGGCGGCGGCCAUCUCUGAGGGGAGAAGGCCCGGGCCUGCAGCCUUGUCACCCCCGGUCAGUGCUUGAGGGGCUGCCUCCCCCCCCGCCGCCGUCUUCUCACGGCGUCAGAAGAGGGUUGCUGGAAAAAAAGCGGCAUCCGUUGGAUCGAAAAUGGAGAACCUCACAGAAAAUCCAGUGAGGUGCAGCCUGGGAUCCCAAGGGAACAAGACUGCUUGUAAACCUGUGCUGUGAGAUGGCAAGGAAUUUCUCUGGCAGCAGGAGAACCGAGGGGCAGGAUCGGGAAGUUGCAAACCUGAUGCUGCCAGAAUGACCUGCAGGGGAGACAUUUCACCGGGGGGGCCAGACUAAAUCCAGUCCAGGAAAACCUCAGAUUCUGUCCAAUGGAGAUGCGAAGAGCCCCAGAACUUUUUAUGUGCUGACCUGCUCCGUUUGUAUCAAACGAUGUGCUAAUGUAGCCGUAGCCAAAAAGGCCUAGGAUAAAUCUGGGAAAUGUGGAAAAAAAGGAGAGAACAGGAGAAUUUCCUCCUUUCCACCCAGUGUAAUCAGCUGCUGUCCGAUUGUGAACUGGACAAGGGGUGGUACGGUACUCAUCCUCGUGGCCAGGUCCUGGUGCGGCGAUACGUGUUGCCAUAUUGACAAAGCAACAACUGAAGUGAGGUGUCUGAACUGAUCUCUGCUUGCUAUUCUGCGUGAUGUGAAACAGAAAAAAAACUAUUUAACACAUACAGAUCAGAUCCACUAUUAGCUUUCUUCAAUUAGUUGUAUCUCAGGCCGUAUGUUCGUCUGUAAGCUUGGCCUACGUAUACAUGUUGCACUGUAACAACCAGAUUAAUUAGAAGCAUGAUUUUUCUAUUUACCAAAAUAAUUACUUCCUCGGUAACAUAAC